Molecule: microRNA, 19 nt
Filed under: Chiloscyllium plagiosum (whitespotted bambooshark)
Lineage: Eukaryota; Metazoa; Chordata; Chondrichthyes; Orectolobiformes; Hemiscylliidae
Description: microRNA PC-3p-1524388_2
Source: RNAcentral
UGUUGUGAUUGUUGUCCUU